UGGGGAAUUUUGGACAAUGGGGGCAACCCUGAUCCAGCAAUGCCGCGUGUGUGAAGAAGGCCUUCGGGUUGUAAAGCACUUUUGUCCGGAAAGAAAACCCUUUCGAUAAUACCGGAGGGGGAUGACGGUACCGGAAGAAUAAGCACCGGCUAACUACGUGCCAGCAGCCGCGGUAAUACGUAGGGUGCGAGCGUUAAUCGGAAUUACUGGGCGUAAAGCGUGCGCAGGCGGUGAUGUAAGACCGAUGUGAAAUCCCCGGGCUUAACCUGGGAACUGCAUUGGUGACUGCAAGGCUAGAGUAUGUCAGAGGGGGGUAGAAUUCCACGUGUAGCAGUGAAAUGCGUAGAGAUGUGGAGGAAUACCGAUGGCGAAGGCAGCCCCCUGGGACGUCACUGACGCUCAUGCACGAAAGCGUGGGGAGCAAACAGGAUUAGAUACCCUGGUAGUCCACGCCCUAAACGAUGUCAACUAGUUGUUGGGGAUUCAUUUCUUCAGUAACGUAGCUAACGCGUGAAGUUGACCGCCUGGGGAGUACGGUCGCAAGAUUA
Molecule: ribosomal RNA, 548 nt
Filed under: uncultured soil bacterium
Lineage: Bacteria
Description: bacterial SSU rRNA
Rfam family: Bacterial small subunit ribosomal RNA
Source: RNAcentral